CGAGAAAAGAGGGAAUCGAACCCC
Molecule: transfer RNA, 24 nt
Filed under: Alytes muletensis (Mallorcan midwife toad)
Lineage: Eukaryota; Metazoa; Chordata; Amphibia; Anura; Alytidae
Also listed under: 5 other names
Description: partial tRNA-Ser
Source: RNAcentral